RNAcentral lists this non-coding RNA (21 nucleotides) under Caenorhabditis elegans. Lineage: Eukaryota; Metazoa; Nematoda; Chromadorea; Rhabditida; Rhabditidae. The record is from RNAcentral.
UGUGUAGCAUGUUAGCUGGCU